GAAAGGUGCUUGAACAAGAGGAAAGGAAAAUUGAAACAGUAAAGAUAAAUAGAGAGCUAACAGGUUUUUUAUAGAGAAACACCAACCUUCAACAACUUGUUUUCUUCCCCUUAUGUAUAAUAGCUCUGAUUUCUCAUCUAAUGAUGGCUUAUGUUAAAACUCACUCACAUGGCAAAUCGGCACUAGAAAUCUCUAGAUUAAACAACAUUUUUUAAAUAGUGGUGCA
RNAcentral lists this unclassified non-coding RNA (226 nucleotides) under Hevea brasiliensis (rubber tree). Lineage: Eukaryota; Viridiplantae; Streptophyta; Magnoliopsida; Malpighiales; Euphorbiaceae. The record is from RNAcentral.